GGAGCCCCCACGCAGCAGCGGUUCCAUUUUGCCGCUGCGUGAUUUACCUCAUCGCCAGAAAACUUGACACCAUGCCAUGCUCUUGAACGCUACAUGGAAGAAACUCCGGUGUGCUCGAACCUAUAUCAACACCCCACUGAUUGUUGUCGUCUUCGCUGCUGUACAGUGAGUGUGGAAUUGGCGCUGCUCCGAUGAUCGCAGACCCUGUCAUCACCCAUAGUCGAUGUCGGCCACCGUCAACUUCGUCUCCUGCUACAACUAACCCUGAUCAAUGCUGCUGCCGGUUACCGUUCACAUUCCCAGUGAUCCAGGCCUCCAGUCAUCAAACCCUUUGAUCAUGAUAUAGCCCUUGAUGUUGUACACACCUCUGUAAAUCAGUUUGGUCAUAGGACCAGCGAUACCGGAGUUAUUGAUAUCAUCAAGCUUGCUGCUCCUGCAUCCUUGCAGCAGCAUUGUUUCCGAUUGGCAUGCAUGUUCCAUAAGAUCCUUUCCUCCAAUCAUCAAAUCCUUUGAAAAUGAUAUUCGUCAUGAAGUUGAACAUGUCCUUGCCAAAUUUCAUCA
Sorghum bicolor (sorghum) is the source of this 561-nucleotide long non-coding RNA. RefSeq lists it as uncharacterized. The transcript has 4 exons. NCBI's taxonomy places the organism in Eukaryota, Viridiplantae, Streptophyta, Magnoliopsida, Poales, Poaceae. The record is from RefSeq and is a predicted model, not a curated record.